GCUCGUCAUGUUUUGAUGUAUUUUGGUGAUAAUUCGAUGGUGGACAGAGUAUAGCCAAAAUCUAAGCUGGUAGCUUCUGUUGUUGUUCCCACUCAACUGAGAAGAGAGACUCCAGGCUUGGUUAGCUCGGGCCGGGAUCCCAAGUGUGAUGCAUUGUGUGGUGACAUGGCAUAGCACUUGACAGUGUAUUCCCGUCAUUUUACCAGAAUCAGAGGGCUUUAUGUACAUACCAGAAUAGUUUAGCACAGAGACUCAAAAAUCACAAGACAGGUUAUAAAACAAAACAAAACAAAACGAAAAAAUACAAAACCAGUCCACCUUUCUGUAAAUCUGGCAUAGAAGCCAUGGGAUAAUCCGGACAAUAACCCUCCUUUUACUGGUGGAUUUUUAACAUGAAAAUCCCGUCCUUCAACUGUCCCUGUAAAUUUUGGAGAGAAUAAGUAUUUUUUUGAGCCCAUACAGGGCAUACAACGUAUUCUUUGUGUGUCGGUCACAAUAGAGUCAUAAAUAUUGAUGAUGAUUUUUAAAUAGUGUACGUCGUUUGACCACUGAACUAUAACCUCAAAACCACAACUAGGUGAGAGAGGUUUUUGUAUUCUUUAUGUGAAACAGGUGUUUAUUUCACAGACUUACUGAGUUGUAUUUGAAUGUUCUGUUUUUUGUCAUAUCAACAUUCCUAUAAGUAUCACAAUGUAGGGCUGAAAAAUUAAAGGAUGUAACAGUUUGGACAAAAUACAGGAAAAAUGAAGGGCAUUGCACUGUAUUUUUAUCUUUGUGGCUAAGCUGUGUUUUGUCUGAAAUACAGAAAUGACCAGGUUCAAAACCCAAAGAUGAGCAUUAAGCAAAUGUCUUAUAAAUAUUUAUAUGAGCAUUUAUUAUUAGUUAAGUAACUUGCUAGCUUUAUACUAUGUGUUGUGGCUUUAGGUCACUUCUGUGAAGCUUGUCCAAAGCCUCUGGUCAUAUCUCAUAUGUGAUGCUGUGUAGAGAACUGCAUGAUGUGCAGGCUCUCUUUUUGCCUCCUAAAUGGGAUAAAUAUGUCUCUAUCUCUGUAUCCAUAUAUUUCAUAGAUACUAGCUAUUUCAUAGCUAAGUCUGUUCAGUGAAAACUAAAAUCUGUAACAUCUGGCAUCUGCAGUGCAGGCUGGAAAAAAAACAACAAAACAACAAAAAUCAAUCCACCCCCCCCCCCCCCACAAUGUCAGAUCUCUUUGUUGUGCAGAAUUUCGCGGUGAAGAGUUAGAUCAAGUUUGCUGUUGUGCAGUUGUUACUACCCUUUCUGCUGUUGUUAUUAUCAGUAUGUCUAUCACUCUCAUCCAAAGAUCUCCAAAUGUGGAUAAUUCCUGCAUUGCUCAAGGUGCAGAA
Molecule: long non-coding RNA, 1361 nt
Organism: Oxyura jamaicensis (ruddy duck)
Lineage: Eukaryota; Metazoa; Chordata; Aves; Anseriformes; Anatidae
Exons: 2
Source: RefSeq, a predicted model, not a curated record